This is a non-coding RNA of Oryza sativa Japonica Group (Japanese rice), 1362 nucleotides long. The record is from RefSeq and is a predicted model, not a curated record. Lineage: Eukaryota; Viridiplantae; Streptophyta; Magnoliopsida; Poales; Poaceae.
UUCGAAGAUAACAAAUUAACGGCAAAUAUAGGGGCUCCUACGUCUUUCCAGCCACAAUCACCACCGUGUAAGAUCGAUCCAACGGCGCAUGGAGAAGAGGCCGCGAGAUCGCUAAAAUUUUCCCCAUUUCCCGUCGCCGCCGCCGCCGCCGCCGCCGCUCGCCGGAGCUGCGCCGCCUCCCGAUCUUCCCGGUCCCUCUCCUCCCUUCCAGAAGCGGCCAAGACCAACGGCCUCGCCCCCGCUACGUGAGAUCGCUGGUGCCCUCGUAGCUCCGAUCCAGCCUCGCCCCCAAGCCAAGGAGCGAAUUCAGCGAGGCAGACAGAAGUCAAUUACUUCUGAUCUCAAUAUAAAGAUCUGGGUGGUUGGACUUGUCAGUUUUAUUUUAGGAGCCUUGUAUGGAAGUAGAUUGAUCCGAUGCAAUUAUGUUUACUUCACUUCUUCCACAGAACAUCUCCUUGCUUAUUCAGGCCUCUGUCGUUACUCCAAUUCAUCGAGCUGCUACCUCAAACAGGCUAGAGAAUUUGAACAUUAUUCAUAUGUAUAUUCAUGUAUGAAAAUUUGCAGAUUUCCAUAUAGCACAGCUGGGGAUUUAGUCUAGUGGUAAGAUAUUCGCUUAGGGAGCGAAAGGUCCCGAGUUCAAUUCUCGGAAUCCCCAAUCUGAAAUCCCUUUUGCAAUGCAUGUCAAAGUUUUUUCUUUUCCAGAGAGAGAAAUGCAUGUGAAGGCUAUCUAUAUGUUUGUAUGAUUUUCAGUGGUCUGGACUCUGGAGAGAUGAGGUUUUGGACCACAAGUUUGAUGAGGUCCUGAGGUUCAGGUAUUGUGUUUGUGCCUGAAAUGACACUAAAUGCCAGGAUUGGUAUUGCUGUUAGUUUGUACAUACUUGGCAUGUGAAGAUGCAUGUAGCACAGAGGCUCUCGCAGCAUAAUACUGUUUUUGAAUCUGAAGUUUUGAUAUUAUAGUUUGCUAUAAAAACCAAGCAAACAAAGGGCAUUUGGUCUAGUGGUAUGAUUCUCGCUUAGGGUGCGAGAGGUCCCGAGUUCAAUUCUCGGAAUGCCCCUAUUACUGUCAUUAUUUUUAUUUUUAUCUAAAAGGAAUUCCGUUCCGGAAUCGCCAAUUUCUGGUCCAAGUUCUCCCCAACUGACAGAUUUGUUUUCCCGAUUUUGUUCUUCUUUCCCCUUCUUGAUUCAUGCAAGACUUGUCAUACAUCUUGCCAAACUCUUCUCAAAUUCAUUAGUUCAUUCCAAUUUGUCAUUAAAAAAGAAAGCACAUUCUAACGUGGAUGUGAAAAGUGAAAGAUCGGUGUUUCCAUCGUCCGUCAAACAAACCGGACGAAAAAAACCAUAUCUGUCCGAUAAAAAAACCAG